RNAcentral lists this ribosomal RNA (253 nucleotides) under uncultured bacterium. Its description in RNAcentral is "partial 16S ribosomal RNA". It matches the Rfam family "Bacterial small subunit ribosomal RNA", at positions 524 to 776 of the family's 1533-position model. The record is from RNAcentral.
UACGGAGGUUGCGAGCGUUGUUCGGAAUGACUGGGCGUAAAGGGAGCGCAGGCGGCUCGUUAGGUCCGGAGUGAAAGCCCGGGGCUCAACCCCGGCGGGUCUUCGGAUACCGGCGAGCUCGAGUACGGAAGAGGAGGGUGGAAUUCCAGGUGUAGCGGUGAAAUGCGUAGAUAUCUGGAGGAACACCGGUGGCGAAAGCGGCCCUCUGGUCCGAUACUGACGCUGAGGCUCGAAAGCGUGGGGAGCAAACGGG